AAUUCUCAACCUUUCCAGCUUUUAUUAGCUUGGUUAGGCUUGGAUGUGGGGGUUGCGGGCUUUAUUAAUUGAAGUCGGCUCUCCUUAAAUGCAUUAGCAGAACUUUUGUGGACUGUCUAUUGGUGUGAUAAUUAUCUACGCCGUGGAUGUGAAGCAGCUUUAUGAAGUUCAGCUUCUAAUCGUCCAUUGACUUGGACAAUUUUAUGACA
RNAcentral lists this unclassified non-coding RNA (209 nucleotides) under uncultured Laccaria. RNAcentral describes it as "sequence contains ITS2". The record is from RNAcentral. Lineage: Eukaryota; Fungi; Basidiomycota; Agaricomycetes; Agaricales; Tricholomataceae.